Molecule: long non-coding RNA, 562 nt
Organism: Perca flavescens (yellow perch)
Lineage: Eukaryota; Metazoa; Chordata; Actinopteri; Perciformes; Percidae
Exons: 3
Source: RefSeq, a predicted model, not a curated record
CACUCCCAACCUCUCCAACUCUCCCUACUCUCACCCCUCCCAUCCAGCAUUCCCAUACCUACACACUACAUAACCUUGCCACUGCACCAUGCCCUCCCUUCCCUUCAACCUGCUUACCUCCACCACCACCUUCACCCCGCCCAUCUCUGCAACCUCCGUAUGUUCUGCAUUUGUAGCUAGAAAGGGGAGGAAGAAGGUGAACGCAGGAAAGAAUGCAGGUGUCUGAACUUGAAGUACAUACACAACAGGCCAUGAAUGACGGGACAUCAGGGCUACAGGGGUUACCCCCGUAAGUAAGUACAACCCAAUUUUAGUCACGCAUAAUGAUUUCCUUUCCCCCGAUCUUGCAGGUCUUAGUGUGUUAUAGGUGGUAGAUGUGGAGACAGCAGAGUCAAAAAGCGUGAGCCGCACCUGUGUGAGGAGUGAAGAAGGAUUAAGAAGAGUUCAACUGGGCAUUGCCAUCAAAUGUUGGCAUCAGCACCUAGCACCUACAACGCCUGAGAGACUUCCACCUACCAUGCUGAGAGAAUGAGAAAGAGCUUCUUUCCCCAGGUCAUAUGGA